GGCAGAUGAUGUCUUUUCACGAUGGUCUUCAGAUGCCCACCGCGGGCACUGCUGAAAAAACCACUUGGCAUAGCUGAUGUCAGCGG
Small nucleolar RNA from Vulpes vulpes (red fox), 86 nucleotides. Ensembl annotates it as small nucleolar RNA, C/D box 35B. Lineage: Eukaryota; Metazoa; Chordata; Mammalia; Carnivora; Canidae. The record is from Ensembl.